AACGAACGCUGGCGGCAGGCCUAACACAUGCAAGUCGAGCGAGGACUUCGGUUCUAGCGGCGGACGGGUGAGUAACGCGUGGGAAUGUGCCCUUCUCUACGGAAUAGCCCUGGGAAACUGGGAGUAAUACCGUAUACGCCCUAUUGGGGAAAGAUUUAUCGGAGAAGGAUCAGCCCGCGUUGGAUUAGGUAGUUGGUGGGGUAAUGGCCUACCAAGCCGACGAUCCAUAGCUGGUUUGAGAGGAUGAUCAGCCACACUGGGACUGAGACACGGCCCAGACUCCUACGGGAGGCAGCAGUGGGGAAUCUUAGACAAUGGGGGCAACCCUGAUCUAGUCAUGCCGCGUGAGUGAUGAAGGCCUUAGGGUUGUAAAGCUCUUUCAGCUGGGAAGAUAAUGACGGUACCAGCAGAAGAAGCCCCGGCUAACUCCGUG
This 433-nucleotide ribosomal RNA is filed under the name uncultured bacterium. RNAcentral describes it as "partial 16S ribosomal RNA". It matches the Rfam family "Bacterial small subunit ribosomal RNA", at positions 29 to 507 of the family's 1533-position model. The record is from RNAcentral.